AUUGAACGCUGGCGGAAUGCUUUACACAUGCAAGUCGAACGGCAGCACGGACUUCGGUCUGGUGGCGAGUGGCGAACGGGUGAGUAAUGUAUCGGAACGUGCCCAGUCGUGGGGGAUAACGUAGUGAAAAUUACGCUAAUACCGCAUACGAUCUAUGGAUGAAAGCGGGGGAUCGCAAGACCUCGCGCGAUUGGAGCGGCCGAUAUCAGAUUAGGUAGUUGGUGGGGUAAAGGCCCACCAAGCCAACGACCUGUAGCUGGUCUGAGAGGACGACCAGCCAAACUGGAACUGAGACACGGUCCAGACUCCUACGGGAGGCAGCAGUGGGUAAUUUUGGACAAUGGGCGAAAGCCUGAUCCAGCCAUUCCGCGUGCAGGAUGAAGGCCCUCGGGUUGUAAACUGCUUUUGUACAGAACGAAAAGGUUUCUACUAAUACUAGGAACUCAUGACGGUACUGUAAGAAUAAGCACCGGCUAACUACGUGCCAGCCGCCGCUGUAA
This 500-nucleotide ribosomal RNA is filed under the name uncultured bacterium. RNAcentral describes it as "partial 16S ribosomal RNA". It matches the Rfam family "Bacterial small subunit ribosomal RNA", at positions 30 to 523 of the family's 1533-position model. The record is from RNAcentral.